GAGGGUAUAGCUCAGUGGUAGAGCGCAUGCUUAGCAUGCCCAAGGUCUUGGAUUCAAUCCCCAGUACCUCCA
Molecule: transfer RNA, 72 nt
Filed under: Camelus bactrianus (Bactrian camel)
Lineage: Eukaryota; Metazoa; Chordata; Mammalia; Artiodactyla; Camelidae
Also listed under: 1 other name
Rfam family: tRNA
About the family: Transfer RNA (tRNA) molecules are approximately 80 nucleotides in length. Their secondary structure includes four short double-helical elements and three loops (D, anti-codon, and T loops). Further hydrogen bonds mediate the characteristic L-shaped molecular structure. tRNAs have two regions of fundamental functional importance: the anti-codon, which is responsible for specific mRNA codon recognition, and the 3' end, to which the tRNAs corresponding amino acid is attached (by aminoacyl-tRNA synthetases). tRNAs cope with the degeneracy of the genetic code in two manners: having more than one tRNA (with a specific anti-codon) for a particular amino acid; and 'wobble' base-pairing, i.e. permitting non-standard base-pairing at the 3rd anti-codon position.
Source: Rfam by way of RNAcentral